AGAGUUUGAUCCUGGCUCAGGAUGAACGCUAGCUACAGGCUUAACACAUGCGAGUCGAGGGGAAACGACAUCGAAAGCUUGCUUUUGAUGGGCGUCGACCGGCGCACGGGUGAGUAACGCGUAUCCAACCUGCCCAUCACUUGGGGAUAACCUUGCGAAAGUAAGACUAAUACCCAAUGACGUCUCUAGAAGACAUCUGAAAGAGAUUAAAGAUUUUAUCGGUGAUGGAUGGGGAUGCGUCUGAUUAGCUUGGUUGGCGGGGUAACGCCGACCAAGGCGACGAUCAGUAGGGGUUCUGAGAGGAACGGUCCCCACAUUGGAACUGAGACACGGUCCAAACUCCGUACGGGAGCA
RNAcentral lists this ribosomal RNA (354 nucleotides) under uncultured bacterium. Its description in RNAcentral is "bacterial SSU rRNA". It matches the Rfam family "Bacterial small subunit ribosomal RNA", at positions 8 to 349 of the family's 1533-position model. The record is from RNAcentral.